This 374-nucleotide ribosomal RNA is filed under the name uncultured organism. RNAcentral describes it as "partial 16S ribosomal RNA". It matches the Rfam family "Bacterial small subunit ribosomal RNA", at positions 527 to 896 of the family's 1533-position model. The record is from RNAcentral.
GUAGGUGGCAAGCGUUGUCCGGAAUUAUUGGGCGUAAAGCGCGCGCAGGCGGGUCUUUAAGUCUGAUGUGAAAGACCCACGGGCUCAACCGUGGAGGGGUCAUUGGAAACUGGAGAACUUGAGUACAGAAGAGGAAAGCGGAAUUCCACGUGUAGCGGUGAAAUGCGUAGAGAUGUGGAGGAACACCAGUGGCGAAGGCGGCUUUCUGGUCUGUAACUGACGCUGAGGCGCGAAAGCGUGGGGAGCAAACAGGAUUAGAUACCCUGGUAGUCCACGCCGUAAACGAUGAGUGCUAAGUGUUAGGGGGUUUCCGCCCCUUAGUGCUGCAGCUAACGCAUUAAGCACUCCGCCUGGGGAGUACGGCCGCAAGGCUG